RNAcentral lists this ribosomal RNA (486 nucleotides) under uncultured Gammaproteobacteria bacterium. RNAcentral's name for it is "bacterial SSU rRNA". It matches the Rfam family "Bacterial small subunit ribosomal RNA", at positions 30 to 505 of the family's 1533-position model. The record is from RNAcentral. Lineage: Bacteria; Pseudomonadati; Pseudomonadota; Gammaproteobacteria.
AUUGAACGCUGGCGGUAUGCUUAACACAUGCAAGUCGAACGGAAACGAAGGUAGCUUGCUAUCUGGCGUCGAGUGGCGGACGGGUGAGUAAUGCAUGGGAAUUUGCCUAUUAAUGGGGGACAACAGUUGGAAACGACUGCUAAUACCGCAUACGCUCUUAGGAGGAAAGCAGGGGAUCUUCGGACCUUGCGUUAAUAGAUGAGCCCAUGUCGGAUUAGCUAGUUGGUGGGGUAAGAGCUCACCAAGGCGACGAUCCGUAGCUGGUUUGAGAGGAUGAUCAGCCACAUCGGGACUGAGACACGGCCCGAACUCCUACGGGAGGCAGCAGUGGGGAAUAUUGGACAAUGGAGGGAACUCUGAUCCAGCAAUACCGCGUGUGUGAAGAAGGCCUUAGGGUUGUAAAGCACUUUCGUUGGUGAGGAAACGGUAGAGAUUAAUACUCUCUGCAAUUGACGUUAACCAAAUAAGAAGCACCGGCUAACUCCG